This is a non-coding RNA of Ictidomys tridecemlineatus (thirteen-lined ground squirrel), 6060 nucleotides long. NCBI's taxonomy places the organism in Eukaryota, Metazoa, Chordata, Mammalia, Rodentia, Sciuridae. The record is from RefSeq and is a predicted model, not a curated record.
GGCACCAGAUUGGGGAGGGGUCUGUGCCCAGUCCUCAUUCUGGGGAGGCAGCCGUUUGAGGAUGCGCCAGACAGUAGCAAACUCGGCUUGUGCCAGGGGAGGAGCUGGGCCCAGGAGGCAGAGCCCUGGGCAGAGCCCCCUGGUCGGCUGAGGACGAGGGAUCCUGGACUCCGGACUGUCUUAAAGCCCCAGUGGUGUCCAGUGCCCGGCUGGGGUGGAGAGUGCUCCUGACCACGCCUGCAGGAGACCACAGAUGGGCAUCUCAACCCAGGUCCACACCCCUGUUCCUGAAUGCAGGAGGCUCUUGUGGAUCAGAACCAACUCAGGGGGCUGAGGCAGGAGGAUGGCCCUUGGGGUGUAGCUGAGGGGCAGGGCACCUGGGUCCAUCCCCCAGGAGGCCAGGCUUGGCGUCCACCCCUCUGGGUGGAGCCUGAGGGCCGAGGGCGGAGCGCAUGAGCUCCGGGGACUGGGGACUGGCUCACCCCUGCUGGGACCCCCUUUCUCUUCCUUAUUAACUGGUCAAGGCACCCCCCCCCCAGAGGGAAGCCCCCGCACCAGCUUGGGCUGGGUCCUCUGGUCCUCUCCUGGACACGCACCCUCUGGACCCGCUCCUCUGACCACAGGGCAGUUUGGGCAGUGCUUCUCCCGGCGGGAACAUUGUCCCUGUCGCAGCUGAUGGACACGGAGGCCGUCUUCUGCUCUCACAGACAGUGUGGCCCCUGAAACAUACGCGGCCCCUUGGUCAGUGAGUCGAGUGCUGCUCAGAGGCGUUUGUCCAGGGGACGAGCUUCCACUGGUGUCGCCAACCGGUCACCACAGUAACGCGCUCCUGCAGGGCUGGCGGGUCCUAGGGGUCCCCACCGCGGACAUCCUCCCCUGGCUGCGGCUGGCCAUCUCCUCUUCCGUGUGGUCCCUCCAGUGCCCCCUCGUCCAGCCAGCCUGCCUGUGCACCGUCUGCCCCACCGCCCACUCCCCUGGUCUGUCAUUGGCCACCUCGCCAGCCGUGGCCGAGCUGACCAGCCCAGCGACUCACCCUCCAGCGCCCAGCCAGCCUCUAACUCUAUGUCCAGCAGCUGUGCCCGCCUGAGUCCUCCCAGCCGCCAGCCCAGGAGUCUGACCCACGCGUCACCUCAGCUAGUUGACCCGUCCGUCCACUCACAGGCACACACAGUCCUGUCCUUCAGCCUGUCCCUUGAUGACCCACCCAUCUCCCGGCCUCUGCGCCCUCGUCCCCCAGCCUCGCGCCGGCUCCUGCCUGGCUGAUCUGCUGCCCGCUGUCCUGAGCACCCCUCGGUGUCUUCAAAGGACCCGUCCACCCGUGCGUCCUGCGCUGGGCAGCCGGCCCCGUGGCUGCUCUCCCCCUGGCUGUGGCUCCUGUGCCCUGGCUGGGAGGCCGCAGUCCCCACCUCACCCUGGAGGUCCAGCGGGGCUGCCCCGUCACCUCUGGGCCCCGGGCCUCCCCCUGAGCUCCGCCUCUGUCCCCCGCUGGGGGCCCCUGCGGUCGGACCCCCUUCUCAGGCUCACCUUCCCUUUCAAGCCCUUUCUCUCCCUGGGGCAGCGUCCACAGCGAGGGCCACCUGGGGGCUGGGGCAGCACACAGUGUUCGUGUGCCCCGUGGCGGCGGGGGCUGGGCCUCUGGGUGUCCCUGGGGCCACAGUCGCAGGACAGAGGCCUCCUCCUCCUCCUCUGCCAUCAGGCCCACUGUCAGAGUCCCCGCUGCCCACAGCUGGGCUGAUGGUGGUGGCCACAGAGGGUCAGAGGUGGGGCCCACCGGGACGCCCUGCGUGGGGCAGCUCUGGGCCCUCGGUCGUUCCCUCUGCCCUUAACAGUGGCCCUGGGGGACCCUGCGCAGCGUCUGCACCCGGCUCUGCUCUUGGUCCUCUGCAGCUCUGGACGCUCACCUGUCAGGUGCCAGUUUCCCGUCCUGGCAGACCGGGGAUGGCGACUGCCCCUCGUCACAGGGACACGGGAAGGAUCAGCGGAGGGGUUGAGGUCCGGCCGUUGGCUCAGAGCCAGGCGUGGUGGCCAGGGCCCGCGCACGGAGCCCGCCGCCAGCCCCUUUCCUCACCCUGCGGGGCGGCUGGUGCCAGGAGGGCAGCCCUGGCCCAGGGGUGGGUAGUGGGGGUGGCCAGCCUGGUGACGAGUGGGUGGUGGACAGUCUGGAAGUCACUUGGUGGCCUGGCGGGUGGUCUGGGGCUGCCCGGCGGGGCCCCCCCCAUCAGAGCUGAGGCUGGAGUUGAGACCCCUGGGCCGGUGGCUGAGAGGAGUCGGCGGGCACAGGUGCUGGACGUGCAGUCAGGUGCUGGACGUGCAGUCGGGUGCUGGCUGGGCGCUGGACGGUGGCACCCGGGCCCCAGUGUGCACUAGGCCCCUUGGGGAGUCGUCAUGGUGCUGAGGACGUGACAAAGGGGCUUUUCUGGUGUCCGCCUCCAGACGGCCCGCGACACGGUGGCCUCAGGCUGUCCUGGCUCACACACCCCAGGGCCCAGCGUGACCCGCCCAGGUCUCGGGCAGCCCUCUCCGGCAGGGCCCGGCCCAGGUGCACCUGGCACCUCCGCUGCCCACACCCAGCUCGGUCCCUUCCGCAGAGCAGCUGCCCUCGGAGCUGUCACCAGGUUGACUUCUUAGCGUCCAGUGGCUUCUCGAGAGAACCGCCGCGUCCACGGGCCCUUCCUGCCCUCGGGGCCUGGACCACCCUGUCCGGGCCACUUUGCCCUCGAGCAGCACAGGGACCCUGCGUAGUGGGCUGAAUGGGGGCCCCCAGAAUCUCUGUCCCCAUCCAGCCCCCGGAACCUGACAACGUGACUCUAGGGGAGAGCAGGCGGACUGUGGGGGCUCCUCCCGGGGUGCUGGCCGCCCUGGGAAGGCUUCCUGGGUCUCUGCCCCCCACGGCCCCGGCUCCUCGCUGCCGGCUCCCCGCCCCGUGGAGAUGGCCAGCACUGCCAGGGACGCCCCUCCUUCCCAGGCCCCUCCGCAGACCUCGGGCGUGAGCCACCCCUGCCCCCGGGCUGCCCCUCGGGAUGGAGCCUCAUUUCGUUGUCAGGGCCCUGGUGACCGGCGCCUGGCGACUCCCCUGGGCCUGCGGGUGGACUCGCGGGGCCUGAGCAACAGGACAGACCUGCUCAGAGGCCUGAGGCGGGGGACUGUGGCCUCUGCAGGUCAGAGGUGGGUGGCCUGGCCCCAGCGUGGCCUCAGAGACCCCAGGGCUUCCCUGGAAAUGCCCGCUCCCCAGCCCGUCCCCUCACCAGGGCCCUCAUGGCCAGGUGGCCGAUGCCCAGGGACGGCAGAGCCGAUGGGAGCAGGGGGGCCAGGGGCAGGGGGCAGCAGACCCAGGCUUGGCCCUGAGCUCCCUGUGCCUGGCAGCCCCUCUCCGGGGGGAAGACGGGGGCACAGACGGUCCCCACAGAGGAACCAAGAGGAGCUCGAGGCUCCCGUGAGGCAGAGGGGACCCCAGGAGCCGGGGGCGAGAUCUGCCCCAGUCAGACGCGCUCCACGUCAGGCCCAGGCCCCGUGUGGUUCGUGCUCUUAGCCUCACCUGAAGCAGACGGGGGCAGGCUGGGGCCCAGAGACACACAGUGACCUGCCCGGGGCCACACAGCAGAAAAGAAACGGGAACCCACAGGCUGGGCUCCCAAGCCAGGGCUCCUGAAGACCACGCUGUCCAGGCUCAGCAUGGCCAACGGGGUCCCCCCAGGGGGACGUGGAUCCCCGGGGGCUGGAAGAGGCCCCCUGCCCCAGAGAUGGACGCUGAGCCGGCUUCCCAGCCCAGGCGCCCACUUUCCACCCACUGGGCAGGAGCAAGGCCACUGUGCCCAGAGCUGGCCUCCCUCAGGGCCAGCUCCCUCGCCCCCUCCCUGCGUGCAGAGCCCUGGGGGAGGCAGGGGACACCCGAGAGGGGAGCUCCUGGGGGACAUUUUAUUGACUCUUCUCUGGAGGUUCUCGCUGGGCCGGCGGCGGGCACCCCUGCUGGGCAUCUGGCGGUGAGGAGUGCGGCGGCGGGCACCUUCCCGGGCCUCUGGCGUUAGGCGUGCGUCUGCUUGGCCUCGGGGCUCUGCGGGGCCCCCGGGCUGUCCUCGGCGCUCCCCUCCUGCCUCUCGGGCUCCAUCAGCAGCAGCUGGCCCUGCACGGGGAGCUGCUCCUCCUCGUCCUCCUCCUCCUCCUCGUCCUCCUCCUCCUCGUCCUCCUCCUCCUCCUCCCCCUCCCCCUCUGACGACAGGGAGAAGUUAUCCUGGCUCACGCAGGCCACCAGCUUCUUCAUGGACGACUCGUGGCCCCGGCUGUGGCCCGUGCCCUGGCCGGUGCCGUGGCCCGUGCUGAGCUUGGCGCAUCGGGAACCCAUGGUCCACUCUGCCCGUCUCUCUGGACUAGGAGGGAGGCGGCCGGGGGGUGGAGGGGCAGUGAGGCGGACAGAGUGCUGACAUCACAAAGGGGCCCUGGAGCCCGCCCCACCCAGCACCCAAGGCAGAGCGGGCAGCUGGGCCGGGGGAGGUCUGUCCAGUGCUACCCGCCCCGUCUGGCCUCCUGGGCCUGGACACUUGCCCUCUCAGCUGAGCGCCGGGGGUGCCGAGAGCCGGGGAUAGUGUGCAGACAGGGUGGGCUAGUGUCCCUGUCAGAAGGCGGCAGAGUUCGGACACGUGGAGUGACGGGCAGAUGGAGUCCCACCGGAGCCCCAGCCCGGGCCCAGCCCUGCUGCGGUCCGCCUCGUCCUUGCUGGAGCACACCCGACCUGCCUCCCCCCUCGGGCUCUUGCAGCCCUCUGCUGCUCACGUCACCCGUCCACCCCGGGGCUGGACUGAGCUCCACAGUGGCCCUUUAGUCGGGUGGACUUCCUGGAGGAAGGGCCGUGACCCGCCAAGGAGACCCGGCGGCCGGGUUCGCACCAGUCUUUAUUGGGCAGGUGACUGCUCGUGGCUCCUGGGCAGCUCGGGGCUCGGCGUGCGCACAGGAGGGGUGUCAGGGCCUCGCGCUCCUUGGGCAGGUGACUCGGCUUCCCCCGGGCUUCGGGCGGGGUCACUACCGCCUCCUGCACCUCCUCUUCCUCCUGACUCUUCUGCAGACUUUGGGAAAGAGAAGCCGUUCCUGGACCCCAUGGGCUCCUCCCCCCGCCUCCCGCCCCGUCCUCCGCCCGGGGGUGCGGCCUGGGCCGCGCGUGGGCACGCACCUCGGUAGCAGCGGCAGCACCGCCGCCUGUACCUGCACCUGCAGCGCCUGCGGUGCCUCUGGCAGGAAUGGCGGCACCUGUGGAUCCGCUGCAGCCUCCGCCGGGAGCAGGGCCUGCGCCUGUACUGGCAGCUCCUCUGUGUCCUCCCGAAGGCCUCGGCGGGCUCCUGGGUCAGCGCCUGCCCCUGCUCCUGCUCCCGCUCCGGGUCCUCACAUCCCGCGUCCUGCCUGGGCCCCUGCUGCAGACGGUCACCGGGGUUCCUCACGCGGCAUCGGACCAUGGCGUCUGCGGCUCGGGGGCAGACCCGGGGCACCUGGGCUGAGGCUGCGGCUGGCCGUGGCGGGAGGAGGGCUGGGGCCCGCCUGCUCCUGGUGUUGCUGUUGGUCUGCUCGGUGGGGCUCUCGGGGCCCGUAUAUAAAGGGGGCCCCACUAUGACCUGGCGGCCCUGCCCAGCCCCCUCUGUGAGGGCGACUCAGGGCAGGGCCCACCGCCCGGCACACCUGGUGGGAUCGGGCCAGGUGGCCUCUUGCCUGGCCUGUAACGUGUGUCCCCUGGAGCCAGAGGACCCUCGGAUCCCGAGAGCCACGGCUUUUCCUGUCCCGGUCAAGCCUCAACCGGUCAGGGUUCGUCCAGAGGUGCCACUCCUCAGUGUCCUGCUGUGAUCUCAGGCUUGAGGUGGCCACUGUUUGCAUGACAUGACUGCAUAAUGGCCGCAUGCCCGGAGGUGACCGCUCCUCCCCAGCCUCCCUCCCUUGGUUUCCAGGAGACCCGCGUCCACCGUUUCUUUUUCCCUCUCCCACUUGCACAUAGUGACCCUUGACCUGGUGGCCUCACGUUCCCGCCAUUGACCGGCAGGGGACAUUCUUUAUGGCUGAAUAAAACUCCACUGUGUACACAGA